Eptesicus fuscus (big brown bat) is the source of this 482-nucleotide long non-coding RNA. RefSeq lists it as uncharacterized. The record is from RefSeq and is a predicted model, not a curated record. The transcript is spliced from 3 exons. Lineage: Eukaryota; Metazoa; Chordata; Mammalia; Chiroptera; Vespertilionidae.
ACACGCGGCCAGAACCUGAGAACCGGUUCCUGCCGCGGCGCUGGCAGCGGGGCCGGCGCGCGCUCCGGCCCCACGCGGCGGAGAGCUAUUUGUCAGGCUGUUGCAAGGAGAGCUGGUGGUGGCGGGCGGGCCGGGCCCUGCCCUUCCCCAAAGAGCGUCGCUCUAGGUUCUUUGACUCGUAAACAACAGAGUGCACUGCGAUCUGCGAUGACAAUUAAGUGAAGCAGGUUAUGCAGCUACCUCCACAGCCAAUACGUGAGAAGUCGAGGAUCAAGGCAAGGCCAUUACAAAGCCCAGGGACUUUUCCACUGGACUACACGCCCCCCCCAUAAAGAAAUUUGUGCAGCCUGCAACCGUGGGACAGAAUUUCCUACAAGAGGGCUUCCUGGUGGCAAGCGGAUUGUGAAGGAGUUGCAGGAACUUGUCUUGAAGCUGUGUUCUGCAUAGUAAGGUCACUGUUUUCACUUGGACCGGAGCAGUUU